This 484-nucleotide ribosomal RNA is filed under the name uncultured bacterium. Its description in RNAcentral is "partial 16S ribosomal RNA". It matches the Rfam family "Bacterial small subunit ribosomal RNA", at positions 30 to 507 of the family's 1533-position model. The record is from RNAcentral.
AUUGAACGCUAGCGGGAUGCUUUACACAUGCAAGUCGAACGGCAGCGCGGACUUCGGUCUGGCGGCGAGUGGCGAACGGGUGAGUAAUGUAUCGGAACGUGCCCAGUAGCGGGGGAUAACUACGCGAAAGCGUAGCUAAUACCGCAUACGCCCUACGGGGGAAAGCAGGGGAUCGUAAGACCUUGCACUAUUGGAGCGGCCGAUAUCGGAUUAGCUAGUUGGUGAGGUAACGGCUCACCAAGGCGACGAUCCGUAGCUGGUUUGAGAGGACGACCAGCCACACUGGGACUGAGACACGGCCCAGACUCCUACGGGAGGCAGCAGUGGGGAAUUUUGGACAAUGGGGGCAACCCUGAUCCAGCCAUCCCGCGUGUGCGAUGAAGGCCUUCGGGUUGUAAAGCACUUUUGGCAGGAAAGAAACGUCGCGGGCUAAUACCCCGUGGAACUGACGGUACCUGAAGAAUAAGCACCGGCUAACUACGUG